Molecule: ribosomal RNA, 337 nt
Filed under: uncultured Oscillospiraceae bacterium
Lineage: Bacteria; Bacillati; Bacillota; Clostridia; Eubacteriales; Oscillospiraceae
Description: bacterial SSU rRNA
Rfam family: Bacterial small subunit ribosomal RNA
Source: RNAcentral
AGUAGUUUGAUCAGUGGCUCGAGGACGACGCUGGCGGCGUGCCUAACACAUGCAAGUCGAACGGACUGAUUCGCUUCGGCGAUGAAAGUUAGUGGCGGACGGGUGAGUAACGCGUGAGUAACCUGCCUUUCAGAGGGGGAUAACGUUUGGAAACGAACGCUAAUACCGCAUAACAUAUAUUUGUCGCAUGGCAGAUAUAUCAAAGGAGCAAUCCGCUGAAAGAUGGACUCGCGUCUGAUUAGAUAGUUGGCGGGGUAACGGCCCACCAAGUCGACGAUCAGUAGCCGGACUGAGAGGUUGAAAGGCCACAUUGGGACUGAGACACGGCCCAGACUCC